Molecule: ribosomal RNA, 1234 nt
Filed under: metagenome
Description: bacterial LSU rRNA
Rfam family: Bacterial large subunit ribosomal RNA
Source: RNAcentral
UGAAUACGAGACGCUAAGGCGUCGAAGUAGUGUAUGUCAUACUUCCAAGAAAAGCUUGCACUGUCAUAGAUAAAAAACGCCUGUACCAUAACCGACACAGGUGGGUAGGUAGAGUAUACUAAGGGGCGCGAGAUAACUCUCUCUAAGGAACUCGGCAAAAUAACUCCGUAACUUCGGGAGAAGGAGUGCCUUAUUCGUAAGGUUGCAAUAACAAGAUCCAAGCAACUGUUUAUCAAAAACACAGGUCUCCGCUAAGUCGUAAGACGAUGUAUGGGGGCUGACGCCUGCCCAGUGCCAGAAGGUUAAAGAAGUUGGUUAGCAAUUGCGAGGCUGAUAACUGAAGCCCUGGUGAACGGCGGCCGUAACUAUAACGGUCCUAAGGUAGCGAAAUUCCUUGUCGGGUAAGUUCCGACCCGCACGAAAGGCGUAAUGAUUUGGAUACUGUCUCGGAGAGGGGCUCGGUGAAAUAGACUUGUCUGUGAAGAUGCGGACUACCUGCACCAGGACAGAAAGACCCUAUGAAGCUUUACUGUAACUUGAAAUUGAAAUUGGACUUUAUUCGCGCAGUAUAGGUGGGAGGCGUUGAUUAUAAUCUUGUGGGAUUAUUGGAGCCAUCAGUGAGAUACCACUCUUGUAAUGUUAGAUUUCUAACUUUGAAUCAUUAUCUGGUCAAAGAACAGUUUCAGGCGGGCAGUUUGACUGGGGCGGUCGCCUCCUAAACGGUAACGGAGGCGUACAAAGGUUUCCUCUGAACGGUUAGAAAUCGUAUCUAGAGUGUAAAGGCAUAAGGAAGCUUGACUGUGAGACCUACAAGUCGAGCAGGGACGAAAGUCGGUCUUAGUGAUCUGACGGUACUGAGUGGAAAGGCCGUCACUCAACGGAUAAAAGUUACUCUAGGAUAACAGGCUGAUCUCCCCCAAGAGUUCACAUCGACGGGGAGGUUUGGCACCUCGAUGUCGGCUCAUCGCAUCCUGGGGCGGUAGUACGUCCCAAGGGUUGGGCUGUUCGCCCAUGAAAGCGGUACGCGAGCUGGGUUCAGAACGUCGUGAGACAGUUCGGUCCAUAUCCGGUGUAGGCGUUAGAAUAUUGAGAGGAGCCUUCUUUAGUACGAGAGGACCGAGAAGGACAUACCUCUGGUGUACCAGUUAUCGUGCCAACGGUAAACGCUGGGUAGCUAUGUAUGGAGUGGAUAACCGCUGAAAGCAUCUAAGUGGGAAGCCCACCUCAAGAUAAG